Molecule: long non-coding RNA, 308 nt
Filed under: Ficedula albicollis (Collared flycatcher)
Lineage: Eukaryota; Metazoa; Chordata; Aves; Passeriformes; Muscicapidae
Description: lncRNA (ENSFALG00000022319.2)
Source: RNAcentral
UGUCCUCUCCAUGAUAUAAUUGUUCUAAUCUGCUAAAAAAGAAGGCAAUCUGAAAAAGCCAAGAACACAGAACACCGUUCUUCUUCUUUUCUUCCCUUGUCUCGUCUAGGAUAGUUGACUUCCGUAACGUUUCUUUUCAACAGCCUCUUUCAGCUUCCUGCCUCUGCUGUGUUUGCACCUCUGGAUGGGGCAGGAGUUGAACUGUGGAAUCUGGCAGAGGCCAGCUUUAAUGUGGGAUUUGUCCUGAAUAAAAUACUUGCAGAAGGAAAAGAACUGGCAUACACGGUGCUCAAACUGAUAACCUAAUC